CAGAGGGUUAUAGGGCAAUUUCCAAGCAGUUCCUGUGAAUUUGCUGGAGCAGGCAAAGGGCCUGCUUGGCUGGGCCCCUUGCACGUAGGAUGGGGGCUCCUCGCCUUGCUCUCUGAGAGGUGGAGGACAUGACUGCGAGCCUCAUAGACUCUGGCUUGAAGCUUCACCACUUCUGAGCUGGGUGCCCUUCGGUCUCAGUUUCCUCAUCUGUGAAAUGGGGAUAAUAGUCAUGCCAGCCCUGUAGGGUGGCUGAAGUACAUGAGACCAGGCAUGCGCAUUGCUUAGCUGGGCUUGGCCUGAACCAAAUGUCCGUUAAGCAGGAGUUGUUGCUCUUCUAGCCCCUGCAACACCACUUAGCAGCUGUGCAACCUUGGGUAAGUCACAUGGUCUCUCUGGGCUAGGUCUCAGUUGCUCCUCUGUAAAAGGGCAUGCGUGCGUGCUCAGUUGUGUUUGACUCUUUGCAACCCCAUGGACUGUAGUCUGCCCUUUUCCCCUGUCCAUGGGAGUCUCCAGGCAAGAAUACUGGAGUGGGUAGCCAUUCCCUUCUCCAGGGGAUCUUCCCAACCCAGGGAUCAAACCCAAGUCUCUUGCAUUUCCUGCAUUGGCAGGUGGAUUCUUUACCACUGAGCCGCCUGGGAAGCCCAAAGGGGACAUAAUGUCAACCUCAAAGGCUAUUGGGAAACCUUAUAGAGGCUCAACAUGUAUUGACUGAUUGGGGCUGGGAAGCUGGGUGGAUGGGGACUCAUCUGCCUGAUGCCUGGAAACAUCAGAUCCAAGUUAGUGGCACCUGGGAAGGGCUCAGGGCAAGUGGGGGGAGGGAAGCCACCGGCCUGGGAAAGUGGAGGAUGGAGAGGGGAAAUCCCAGAGGCUUCGUAGAGGAGGAGGAGCCCGGCCUAGCACUGGGCCUCUGCAGAGUGGGGGCCUUGGCACGGAUAUGAGGCCUGAAUUAACUAGGGAGGUGGUUUCAGGUGGCAGUGACAUUCAGGUGUUGAGCAAGGAUGUGUUCAAGGUACCAUCAGAGGAGGCUGGGCCGGGCCUUCCAGUCACUCCCCCCGAGGCAGACUCCCGAGGAAACCCUGGGCCCCUCACAGAGGGUACAUGCAGCUGGGGGCUCCUGAGCCUGCCUUACACAGAACCGGAGACCAGGAGAUGCAGCGACUGGCCCAUGGCCACCAAGCAGGCCCAGCAAGGGGAGAGGUGGAAGCUGCCCAUGAGGGUCUCAUGCCAAGAGCCCCAGGCUCCCAGGCCGCCUGCCCUGGG
Bos indicus x Bos taurus (hybrid cattle) is the source of this 1260-nucleotide long non-coding RNA. The record is from Ensembl. NCBI's taxonomy places the organism in Eukaryota, Metazoa, Chordata, Mammalia, Artiodactyla, Bovidae.